This is a long non-coding RNA of Dromaius novaehollandiae (emu), 1771 nucleotides long. RefSeq lists it as uncharacterized. The record is from RefSeq and is a predicted model, not a curated record. NCBI's taxonomy places the organism in Eukaryota, Metazoa, Chordata, Aves, Casuariiformes, Dromaiidae. The transcript has 2 exons.
GAUGACAGCUGCACCCCCAGCGUGGGAUGAGCCUGUGGUUGAGUGGCAAUGCGUCUGGGGACGUGCCCAUCAGCUCCCCAUGCCAGCUGGCACAGAAACGUGCUGUCAGCCACAGCAGGCAGAAACCUGCAGCACUUCCAGAUGGCGAUGGCUUUUGGCAGACACCUCUCCACCAGGAGCCAGCCUCUCCCACUGCAUGGGUCCUCUGCUAAGGGGUCCCAUUUCAAAGCCUGCUGUUUGGGUUUCCUCUCCACCAAAGAGCAUUUCGUGAGACACGAGACAUUGCUCAGUGCAUCCUGUUUGCAGGCUGGCUGUCCUUGCUGAGCGCUGUGAUGCUCCCAGAAGAUGCACUUAUCCUCGACAUGAGCAAGCACGUGCUCAUGGAUUGCACAAUUGCCACUGUCAUUAAACAGCUUGAGAAGUAGACAGGGACAGCACCCACAGAACAGGCUGAGCCUACCGGCCUCACUAGAAGGGAGUAGGGUCUGGGCCUGGUUGACCUUGGCUGACGCUAUCGCCUCUGGAGGAAAGGCCAUGCCCCUGCGUGAGGCUGGUCAGACAGCAGCAUUUGAUGUGAUCAUCUUUGCCCCACUCCACGUGUGGCUAUUUUAGACCUGAGUUAACCAGCCACAACUUCAGCUGCCAUUGUAACUUUGUGGGCUGGGAGCUCUCCUGGAAAAGGACAACAGCAAGUUCAGACCUGUGUUAUACAUGUCACAGACACAGGCAGUGUGCACAGAUAAAACUAUUUCCAGAGUUUGUCCUAGGUGCAUUAGUGUUUCUGAGGUUUCCUUGCAAGCCUCACCAUAUCCAUCAAGGCUGACCAUAAACCCAUGGGAUGCUAUCUGGACUCACAACAAAUCAAAAUUGCUUAAUACAGAGCUCACUUAGUCUUCUGUAUCUCUGGGAAGAACCUUGUCAAAGCAGAUGCACUGUCAGCAAGCCUCAUGCCAGAGACAGGCAAGACCUGAAGAAAUAGCAAUGUGCAUCCAGCUGGUAAUAACUUGGUCACCAGGUACUGGCCAGAAGCAGGCUAAAACAUGGUCAGCAGACCUUACUUAUUGCAAAAAUCUUUUGCUAGCUCCCUGGGAACUGCAGGAGAGCUAUUCCUCCAGGAUGGGUGAGCCAGGCAUACUGGGGACAAGCACUUAUUCUCCAAGCUGGACUGCUGAUAGUGAUCACAUGAAAAUGUUCAGGCUGAAAAUCUCCAAAGGCUGUAUGACAGACAUCAAGGCACCAUUGAACACUCAGCUUCCUUUUGCCAGCCAGCCCAGUGACCACAUCUAAGCCAGAAGAUCUUGCCCAGUAUUGCUGAAUAGAUCUUCAAGAGCGGAGAAACCAACAUUACCAGUAAUGCUCUUGACAGCAGCCUCCAGGCCAACUGGUCUGGAUCACUGAUGGAUGGAUAAAGGAGAUGCACCUCUCUCGCCAAGAUCAAACAUGCUGAAUUAGCAUGGACUGCUCUGUGGCAACCAUACAGGCAGGGAGCAGCUGUCUGAACCUAGCUGUUGAGGAUGUGAGAGCCGCAACCAAGCCGGCAGCCAGACCCCACGUUCCCUCCUGUGGAUGAUGCCCUCAGUGUGCCCGCCUGGUCCCAUCGCAGAGACAGCAGAGUGACAGCCGUGGCAGCAGAGUGAGCAAUGCCCUGGAGCAGAACGGCACUGCUGGCACACGGAUGGAUGGCAUCCCAGCCCCGGCCACCGGAGAAGAGCGGCGCACCGGCAGCCUGGAGCAGCAGCUGCGGGGGCCAGGCCCGGCGUGGACCCCUAAG